This 73-nucleotide transfer RNA is filed under the name Ailuropoda melanoleuca (giant panda). It matches the Rfam family "tRNA". Rfam says of the family: Transfer RNA (tRNA) molecules are approximately 80 nucleotides in length. Their secondary structure includes four short double-helical elements and three loops (D, anti-codon, and T loops). Lineage: Eukaryota; Metazoa; Chordata; Mammalia; Carnivora; Ursidae. The record is from Rfam by way of RNAcentral.
GCCUAGCUGGCUCAGUUGGUAGAGCACGUGACUCUUGAUCUCAGGGUUGUGAGUUUGAGCCCCACGUUGGGAG